UGAGGCAAAUCCUUGCAUUAUAAAUCCCUGAUGAAGGACGGGGACUGUGCAGCGAUGCAUGGGAACUUGGAGGAGCCGUACUGCCAAGAAAGAGCCGCUCAGGGAGGUUAUUUGUUGCCCGUACCGGAAACCGACACAGGUGGGCGAGGGUAGUACCCAAAGGCGCACAAGAGAACCCCUGUUAAGGAACUCGGCAAAAUGCACGUGUAACUUCGGGAUAAGCGUGGCCUCAAGUAGGUGAUGGGGAGAAACCGGAGCUGAAAGAGGUUGCAAAAAAGAGGCUCUGGCGACUGUUUACCAAAAACACAGAUCUCUGCUAAGACUUAAGUCUAAGUAUAGGGAUUGAGACCUGCCCGGUGCCAGAAGGUUAAAGAAGGGGGUCAACGGGGUAACCCGUGAAGCUCUUGACUGAAGCCCUGGUAAACGGCGGCUGUAACUAUAACAGUCCUAAGGUAGCGAAAUUCCUUGUCGGGUAAGUUCCGACCUGCAUGAAUGGUAUAACGACUGGAGCGCUGUCUCAACAGGGGACUUGGUGAAAUUGAAGUAUCGGUGCAAAUACCGAUUACCCGCAGCUAGACGGAGAGACCCUGUGAACCCUUACUGUACCCUGGCAUUGUAUUCUGGCACGUUCUGUGUAGGAUAGGUGGGAGGCUAUGAAGCGUGGGCGCCAGCUUGCGUGGAGCCAACCUUGAAAUACCACCCUUAACGUGUCGGACUACUAACGGAUGCUGUGGAAGCAUCUAGACAGUGUCAGGCGGGCGGUUUGACUGGGGCGGUCACCUCCCAAAGUGUAACGGAGGUGUACGAAGGUUCCCUCGAGCUGUAUAGAAAUCAGCUGAAAGAGCGUAAAGGUAUAAGGGAGCUUGACUGCGAGAGAGACAUCUCGAGCAGGGACGAAAGUCGGUCUUAGUGAUCCGGUGGUUUUUGUAUGGAAAAGCCAUCGCUUAACGGACAAAAGGUACUCCGGGGAUAACAGGCUGAUACCGCCCAAGAGUUCACAUCGACGGCGGUGUUUGGCACCUCGAUGUCGGCUCAACUCAUCCUGGGGCUGAGGUAGGUCCCAAGGGUUCGGCUGUACGCCGAUUAAAGAGUUACGUGAGCUGGGUUCAGAACGUCGUGAGACAGUUCGGUUCCUAUCUACUGUGGGCGCUGGAUAUUUGAGGGGAGCUGUUCCUAGUACGAGAGGAUCGGAAUGGACGUACCUCUGGUGCACCAGUUGUCGUGCCAACGGCACAGCUGGGUAGCUAUGUACGGAAGGGAUAACCACUGAAAGCAUCUAAGUGGGAAGCCUCCCCCAAGAUUAGAUAUCCCUCAAGGUUCCAGGUAGACUACCUGGUUGAUAGGUCGCAGGUGUAAGUACAGUAAUGUAUUCAGCCGAGCGAUACUAAUAAACCGUUUGACUUGCCCCC
Molecule: ribosomal RNA, 1409 nt
Filed under: metagenome
Description: bacterial LSU rRNA
Rfam family: Bacterial large subunit ribosomal RNA
Source: RNAcentral